This 75-nucleotide transfer RNA is filed under the name Candidatus Colwellbacteria bacterium RBG_13_48_8. Its description in RNAcentral is "tRNA-Asp". It matches the Rfam family "tRNA". From Rfam's summary of the family: Transfer RNA (tRNA) molecules are approximately 80 nucleotides in length. The record is from RNAcentral. Lineage: Bacteria; Candidatus Colwelliibacteriota.
GCGGGCGUAGCUCAGCUUGGAUAGAGCGCUUCCCUGUCACGGAAGAGGUCGCCGGUUCGAGCCCGGUCGCCCGCG